Molecule: ribosomal RNA, 497 nt
Filed under: uncultured bacterium
Lineage: Bacteria
Description: partial 16S ribosomal RNA
Rfam family: Bacterial small subunit ribosomal RNA
Source: RNAcentral
GAUGAACGCUGGCGGCGUGCCUAAUACAUGCAAGUCGAGCGAACAGACGAGGAGCUUGCUCCUUUGACGUUAGCGGCGGACGGGUGAGUAACACGUGGAUAACCUACCUAUAAGACUGGGAUAACUUCGGGAAACCGGAGCUAAUACCGGAUAACAUGUUGAACCGCAUGGUUCAACAGUGAAAGACGGUCUUGCUGUCACUUAUAGAUGGAUCUGCGCCGCAUUAGCUAGUUGGUAAGGUAACGGCUUACCAAGGCAACGAUGCGUGGCCGACCUGAGAGGGUGAUCGGCCACACUGGAACUGAGACACGGUCCAGACUCCUACGGGAGGCAGCAGUAGGGAAUCUUCCGCAAUGGGCGAAAGCCUGACGGAGCAACGCCGCGUGAGUGAAGAAGGUCUUCGGAUCGUAAAACUCUGUUAUUAGGGAAGAACAAAUGUGUAAGUAACUAUGCACGUCUUGACGGUACCUAAUCAGAAAGCCACGGCUAACUACGUG